RNAcentral lists this ribosomal RNA (20 nucleotides) under Acaena argentea. RNAcentral's name for it is "partial 26S ribosomal RNA". RNAcentral also lists the same sequence under 1 other name. The record is from RNAcentral. Lineage: Eukaryota; Viridiplantae; Streptophyta; Magnoliopsida; Rosales; Rosaceae.
GGUUUGCCCGCUGAAUUUAA